Molecule: ribosomal RNA, 481 nt
Filed under: uncultured bacterium
Lineage: Bacteria
Description: partial 16S ribosomal RNA
Rfam family: Bacterial small subunit ribosomal RNA
Source: RNAcentral
AUUGAACGCUGGCGGCAUGCCUUACACAUGCAAGUCGAACGGUAACGGGCCUUCGGGUGCCGACGAGUGGCGAACGGGUGAGUAAUACAUCGGAACGUGCCCGAUCGUGGGGGAUAACGAGGCGAAAGCUUUGCUAAUACCGCAUACGAUCUACGGAUGAAAGCAGAGGACCGCAAGGCCUUGCGCGGACGGAGCGGCCGAUGGCAGAUUAGGUAGUUGGUGGGAUAAAAGCUUACCAAGCCGACGAUCUGUAGCUGGUCUGAGAGGAUGAUCAGCCACACUGGGACUGAGACACGGCCCAGACUCCUACGGGAGGCAGCAGUGGGGAAUUUUGGACAAUGGGCGCAAGCCUGAUCCAGCCAUGCCGCGUGCAGGAUGAAGGCCUUCGGGUUGUAAACUGCUUUUGUACGGAACGAAAAGCCUUCUUUUAAUACAGGAGGGUCAUGACGGUACCGUAAGAAUAAGCACCGGCUAACUACGU